AUUUUCAUAAGACAAUCUUAAUGUAUAUGCCGGGGAAUAGGGCCCGGGCGUCUCUACCAGGUUACCGUAAAUGACUUGACUACAUGAAGGAUGAGAAGAAGA
This 102-nucleotide non-coding RNA is filed under the name Paenibacillus sp. RNAcentral's name for it is "Guanine sequence". It matches the Rfam family "Purine riboswitch aptamer". From Rfam's summary of the family: Riboswitches are metabolite binding domains within certain messenger RNAs that serve as precision sensors for their corresponding targets. Allosteric rearrangement of mRNA structure is mediated by ligand binding, and this results in modulation of gene expression. RNAcentral also lists the same sequence under 1 other name. Lineage: Bacteria; Bacillati; Bacillota; Bacilli; Caryophanales; Paenibacillaceae. The record is from RNAcentral.